GAUCCUGGCUCAGGAUGAACGCUAGCGGCAGGCCUAACACAUGCAAGUCGAGGGGCAGCACGGUGUAGCAAUACACUGGUGGCGACCGGCGCACGGGUGCGUAACGCGUAUGCAACCUACCCAUAACAGGGGGAUAACACUGAGAAAUUGGUACUAAUACCCCAUAACAUCAGGACCGGCAUCGGUUCUGGUUGAAAACUCCGGUGGUUAUGGAUGGGCAUGCGUUGUAUUAGCUGUUGGUG
This 242-nucleotide ribosomal RNA is filed under the name uncultured bacterium. Its description in RNAcentral is "partial 16S ribosomal RNA". It matches the Rfam family "Bacterial small subunit ribosomal RNA", at positions 15 to 254 of the family's 1533-position model. The record is from RNAcentral.